CCUACGGGAGGCAGCAGUGAGGAAUUUUCCGCAAUGGGCGAAAGCCUGACGGAGCGACGCCGCGUGGAGGAUGAAGGUUCUUGGAUUGUAAACUCCUGUCACUGCAGAACAAGGCUACAUGUAUGAAUAGUACGUGUAGUUGAUGGUAUGCGGAGAGGAAGGGACGGCUAACUCUGUGCCAGCAGCCGCGGUAAU
This 195-nucleotide ribosomal RNA is filed under the name uncultured Verrucomicrobiales bacterium. RNAcentral describes it as "partial 16S ribosomal RNA". It matches the Rfam family "Bacterial small subunit ribosomal RNA", at positions 338 to 524 of the family's 1533-position model. Lineage: Bacteria; Pseudomonadati; Verrucomicrobiota; Verrucomicrobiia; Verrucomicrobiales. The record is from RNAcentral.